Molecule: non-coding RNA, 180 nt
Organism: Dialister sp. CAG:357
Lineage: Bacteria; Bacillati; Bacillota; Negativicutes; Veillonellales; Veillonellaceae
Rfam family: 6S / SsrS RNA
About the family: E. coli 6S RNA was the first non coding RNA to be sequenced, but its function was unknown until recently. It consists of 184 nucleotides that fold into an extended hairpin structure with a large single-stranded internal bulge. The 6S RNA specifically associates with RNA polymerase holoenzyme containing the sigma70 specificity factor.
Source: Rfam
AGAACCCUGCUGUGCACGUGCAGCUUUAUAUUUUGAACCAACACCUUUACCUAGGGAGUUCGGAUUUGGAUGGAAAUAGUCUAUGCCCCUUUUGGGGGACAGAUGAAACUCUUCAAGAGAACACCCACCUGCAAUUAUGCAGACUCAAAAUACGGCAAUUAACGACAUGGUGGGGUAUGG